GAUGAAGAACGUAGUGAAAUGCGAUAAGUAAUGCGAAUUGCAGAAUUCCGUGAGUCAUCGAAUCUUUGAACGCACAUUGCGCCCUCUGGUAUUCCGGAGGGCAUGCCUGUCUGAGCGUCAUUGUCAACCCUCAAGCUCGGCUUGCUGUUGGGUCCCCGUCGUUGCUUUAACGGCGGACCCGAAAGGUAAUGGCAGAGUCCGUGAGACCCUAGACGCAGCGAGCUUCUAGCACGCGUCUGGACGUUUUUCGGGCUCGGUCUUAACUAGAUGAUAACUUCCGAUUGACCUCAGAUCAGGUAGGGAUACCCGCUGAACUUAAGCAUAUCAAAAGCGGAGGA
Molecule: unclassified non-coding RNA, 338 nt
Filed under: soil metagenome
Description: partial contains 5.8S ribosomal RNA, internal transcribed spacer 2, and large subunit ribosomal RNA
Rfam family: 5.8S ribosomal RNA (bases 1-120)
Source: RNAcentral